GACGAACGCUGGCGGCGUGCUUAACACAUGCAAGUCGAACGGAAAGGCCCUGCUUUUGUGGGGUGCUCGAGUGGCGAACGGGUGAGUAACACGUGAGUAACCUGCCCUUGACUUUGGGAUAACUUCAGGAAACUGGGGCUAAUACCGGAUAGGAGCUCCUGCUGCAUGGUGGGGGUUGGAAAGUUUCGGCGGUUGGGGAUGGACUCGCGGCUUAUCAGCUUGUUGGUGGGGUAGUGGCUUACCAAGGCUUUGACGGGUAGCCGGCCUGAGAGGGUGACCGGCCACAUGGGGACUGCGAUACGGCCCAGACUCCUACGGGAGGCAGCAGUGGGGAAUAUUGCACAAUGGGCGGAAGCCUGAUGCAGCAACGCCGCGUGCGGGAUGACGGCCUUCGGGUUGUAAACCGCUUUCGCCUGUGACGAAGCGUUAGUGACGGUAAUGGGUAAAGAAGCACCGGCUAACUACGUG
Molecule: ribosomal RNA, 468 nt
Filed under: uncultured bacterium
Lineage: Bacteria
Description: partial 16S ribosomal RNA
Rfam family: Bacterial small subunit ribosomal RNA
Source: RNAcentral